UCGAACGUAAGAUGACUGUAGGUGAAAGCUUACAUCUCUUCGGAGCAUUUUACGUAGGUGCUGCAUGGUUGUCGUCAGCUCGUGCCGUGAGGUGUCGGGUUAAGUCCCAUAACGAGCGCAACCCUACCUUUAGUUGCCAUCAGGUUAAGCUGGGGACUCUAAAGGAACUGCCUACGCAAGUAGUGAGGAAGGCGGGGAUGACGUCAAAUCAGCACGGCCCUUACGUCCAGGGCUACACACGUGCUACAAUGGCCGAUACAGAGGGCAGCUACCUGGUGACAGGAUGCAAAUCUCCAAAGUCGGUCUCAGUUCGGAUCGGAGUCUGCAACCCGACUCCGUGAAGUUGGAUUCGCUAGUAAUCGCGCAUCAGCCAUGGCGCGGUGAAUACGUUCCCGGGCCUU
Molecule: ribosomal RNA, 401 nt
Filed under: uncultured Sphingobacteriales bacterium
Lineage: Bacteria; Pseudomonadati; Bacteroidota; Sphingobacteriia; Sphingobacteriales
Description: bacterial SSU rRNA
Rfam family: Bacterial small subunit ribosomal RNA
Source: RNAcentral